UUUCGCAAUGCCCGAAAGGGUGACGAAGCGACGCCGCGUGAGUGAGGAAGGCCUUCGGGUUGUAAAGCUCUGUCAGCUUGGAUGAAUACAAGAGAGUUAAUAACUUUUUUGUUUGACGGUACAAGCAGAGGAAGCCACGGCUAACUCCGUGCCAGCAGCCGCGGUAAUACGGAGGUGGCAAGCGUUGUUCGGAUUUACUGGGUGUAAAGGUCAUGUAGGUGUCUUAUUAAGUCGGGUGUGAAAUCCCUUGGCUCAACCAAGGAACUGCAUUCGAUACUGGUAAGAUUGAGUACGAGAGAGGUAAGCGGAAUUCCAGAAGUAAGGGUGAAAUCUGUAGAUAUCUGGAAGAACACCAUUAGCGAAGGCGGCUUACUGGCUCGAUACUGACACUGAAAUGAGAAAGCUAGGGUAGCGAACAGGAUUAGAUACCCUGGUAGUCCUAGCUGUAAACGAUGGGCACUAAGUAGAGGGGUUUU
RNAcentral lists this ribosomal RNA (476 nucleotides) under uncultured anaerobic ammonium-oxidizing bacterium. Its description in RNAcentral is "bacterial SSU rRNA". It matches the Rfam family "Bacterial small subunit ribosomal RNA", at positions 364 to 832 of the family's 1533-position model. The record is from RNAcentral.